GCCCGGAUGAUCGCGGCUGCGCGUGCGCAGGUGAGGAAAGUCCGGGCUUCACAGGGCAGGAUGCCGGAUAACGUCCGGUGGGGGCGACCCUAAGGAAAGUGCAACAGAAAAGAUACCGCCGGGGCGACCCGGUAAGGGUGAAAUGGCAGUGUAAGAGACUACCGCUGACCCGGCAACGGGGCAGGCAGUGUAAACCCCAUCCGAAGCAAGACCAAGCAGGGAGGAUAAGGCGGCCCGUCUUCUCCCGGGUAGGUCGCUUGAGCCGUGCGGCGACGUACGGCCUAGAUAGAUGAUCAUCCUCGACAGAACCCGGCUUACAGGGCAGGUC
RNAcentral lists this RNase P RNA (328 nucleotides) under bovine gut metagenome. Its description in RNAcentral is "Bacterial RNase P class A". It matches the Rfam family "Bacterial RNase P class A". From Rfam's summary of the family: Ribonuclease P (RNase P) is a ubiquitous endoribonuclease, found in archaea, bacteria and eukarya as well as chloroplasts and mitochondria. The record is from RNAcentral.